CCCGCGAUGGAGUCACCGCACCUGUGCUUAAUCACUUUGCCGGCUGCUACUAAUCUUUUACCAUCCCGAAGCAGACCUAUUUAACUGUGCGGUCGGAUGACAGCCAGCGCUGGAAUGUUGAGACUUCAUUCUAGAAGUUAUGUUGGAGGAUGUCUGCUCAUACAACUUCACUGGAGAUACUCAAAGGAUUCGAAGGAUUCCUGGUGUUUCAGCUGGUAUAUUAGAACUGCAGGCAACCCACAAGGCUUAAGAUGUGUGAAACUGAAGCUGAAUCUCCAGAGCGUCCAUUGUCCUGCGGAUCUUACAUACUCCAGCUACGCUGCCUUUGAUUGCAGAUGAAUCUGCAGAUGGUGGAAAAUGGGUUCAUGUUCUCCUCUGACGAACUCAGCACAGCUGCACCCUGAGCAGGAGUCAAAGUCCAAUAUGUGGGAUGAAAGACUCGCUGGAGAAGCAGCUAAUUAUACUGC
This is a long non-coding RNA of Astatotilapia calliptera (eastern happy), 467 nucleotides long. The record is from Ensembl. Lineage: Eukaryota; Metazoa; Chordata; Actinopteri; Cichliformes; Cichlidae.